CACGAAGGACAAAUCAUUUCCAGAAUUCUUUGAAAGAGGUAAUGUAAAUUCUUUUCCACUUUAGGGUUUCAAUUUGGUUAAGGUACUGUAAAGUAUCGUCCUUUUUAGGGUUUCAAUUUGGUUAGGUACGGUUAACUCUUCUACUCUUUAGUGUUUAAUUUUGCUAGAGAAAACUUCCAAGGAUUGUUUGAAUUAGAAAAUUGUUUCAAAACAGAAUUUAUUAGUUGCAACAUAUGAAAGUUUUUCUCAAUUAGGCAUUUUCUUGCGUUUGUUGUCAUUUCUCUUUGUUGUUAAUACUGUAUGCGUCAUGGGCACCUCCGAAAUUUUGCUUCUGCUUUCUGGUAAUUCUCCAUGUAAAAAGGGAAAAAUCACUUUCAAUUUUAUUCAGAAUUUGUAUAACUAUACAUUUAACAGGUAAUUGUAAAUACUAGUACUAUAUGUACCAUUUAUCGUUUUGUACUUGUCGUAUUUGUUUUAUUUACAGUUGUAUUUGAAGUGAGAUCAAUUGAUUACGUUACUUAGCUUACUUUUUGCUUCGCAUCAAGUGGUAAAAACUGAUCUAAAAAUGAUUAUUUGAUAUGUCAGGUAGCUGGUAAAAGUAUUACUUUGUUAAACAUUAAUUGAUAAUAUAGAACUCCUGUUUUGAGCCUAAAAUCUUUUUAUUUCAACAUUCACAUCUUCACAUAUAUCCUUUUGAGUGCAUAAAUGCACUUUCCCUUGAUCCCACCUUCUUGAACGCAGUAUCUAAGAUCUAUUCACGAGUCCGGAGCCUAAAGGGCAAAAAAAAUGGUCAAAAAUUCCAAAAGGGCACAUCACUUUUUAUUUUAGCCAAAAGGGCAAAAUCGCUGCGUCAGCAGCGAUUUUCCUCUGACAAAAUGACAAAAUCACUGCCCUAGCAGCGAUUUCGUCUAAAAAAAAAAUUUUAAAAAAAAAAUAAAAAUCGCUGCUUUUUUUUCUUUAAAAAAACUAAAACAGCACAUCAAAAAAAAAAUUAACCAAAAGGGCUUCUGACAAAACAAAGAAUAUACAUCUCAUGUACACAAAACAAUGCUUCACUACUGUGGAUAUACAUCUCAUGUACAUAAAAGAAUAUUAAAUUCAGAAAAAAACUUUUUUUAAAAAAUUCUUAACCAAAUUCGCUGCUAUAGCAGCAAUUUUGAAGAAAAAAAAGUUUUUUUUUUUUUUGAGAAAAUAUGCAGCGAUUUUUAUUUUUGUUUUGUCAGAAGCCCUUUUGGUUAAUUUUUUUUUUGAUGUGCUGUUUUAGUUUUUUUAAAGAAAAAAAAGCAGCGAUUUUUACAGAGGAAAAUCGCUGCUGACGCAGCGAUUUUGCCCUUUUGGCUAAAUAAAAAGUGAUGUGCCCUAUUGGAAUUUUUGACCAUUUUUUUUGCCCUUUAGGCUCUGGACUCAUCUAUUCACUGUCAAAGAUCUAAGUUGGUUGACAAAGUGAAAAGGUGAAAUAUGUGAAUGCCCAAAAAGAAAUACACACAAAGAAAAUCUUCAAAAAUAAAAUAAAAUAUAUAUAUAUGAAAAAAACCUCCGACAAAAAGGAUCGAAAAAGAGAAAAAAGAGAAGAAAAUAAAUGAGAAGCUUCCAAGCAAACAAAGAUCAAGUGCGAAAAUGAAAAAAAUAAAAUUUGAGAGCAUAGUGCAAUGUUUAAGAAGGAAAUAAUCACUUUAAUUAGAAACACUUUUUUUCAAACCCGUAAGUGUGUGGUGGUAAGAAAAAAGGGGUGUGACACAUAUUACCCAACCCAUUCAAAAAUUUCCCUAGACCUCGCCUUGCUCACAUUCCAUCUGAGAGUGGCCUAACCUAGAAGUUUUAAGUCGUGACCCAAAAGUAAUUUUCUGACCCAUUUCUUUCCCCAUUGGCCUAUUCAAAACUAACAGGAUGGGUCAUUACACAAAGGGUCACCCUAAAAAAUGAAUUAUUUACUAUAGUGAGCUUUGCCAAAGCAAAGAUCUUUGCUAUACCGAAGGUUGGAAAAAUAGUAAUGUAUUUUAAGUCAGUUUUUCAGUCUUAGAGCUUAUUUGAUUGGCUUAUUUUAGGGACUUUAAGCACUUUUACAGUGUAUGGAUAAAAUUAAAAAAAUACUUUAAGCACUUGGUUAUAAAUCAAAAUAGCAAAAAUAAGUUAAAAAACAUAAGUUAGAAAUCCUAACUUUAAAAUUUUUGACUUAUAAGCAAAAUAUAAUAAGUCAAUCCAAACGGGCUCUUAGUUAGAACUUAGCUAGCGUUUGGCCAUAGAUUUCCAAAUAAUCUUGGCAAAUAUUAUUUGGGUGAAAUUUCGCCAUGUGUUUGGCCAGAGUAUUUGGGAAAUAUAUUUCACUUUUUAGAAAAAUAUGAUUUAUACCCAUAAAUUUUUAAAACUAUUAAAACUAACUGUAAGUUUGUAUUACAAGUCAAUUGGAUCUUCGUUGCAACAAUAACAAAUAGUUUCCAUGACACUAGAGCAAUGUGGUAGUUUGGAGUGAGUGCAACAAGUAUCAUUCCAUACAUCGUGAAGUAGACAAAGCACAUGACUUUAUUACCCUAAGUCGAUUGUUCAUCAUUUUCAUCAACAAUCAUAUCAUCAUUAAUAUUCACUGAAUAUUUCAUCACUGCUUUAGUGUUCACGUAAAAAAUUAUGUAAUACAACGCAAACAACUACUAUAGAGGGUGUUUUUGUAAAAGAUAAAAGUUUGCUAUAAAAUUUCAUUUUUCAAAAGAGCCCAAAUAAUGAGAUUUGGCCCAAAUACUAGAAAAAACUAGUAUUUGGGAAUUUGGGAUAUUUGUCAAAAAUAUUUGCCAAAUAAUGGCAAAUUGUAUGGACAAACACUAUUUGCCAAAAUUUUUCCCCAAAUAUUAUUUGGGAAAUCUAUGGCCAAACGGGCCAUUAUUAAGGCUUAUUUAUUGAUCUGUGUUAAGAAUUUGAUUGUUGGUGUAUCGGCACAAAGUUGAUAACACAUACAGUAUUACUCAAUUAUUGAGUAGGACUUGUAAGAUAUGACCCCUAGGUCUAACUCAACCCCAAAAGCUAGCUCAUGAGGAGAGGAUUGAUAUAUUAUCUAUUAAUUCAUCUAAUUUAUCGUUAUCAGUUUUUAGUCCAUGUAAGGAUUCGAUCAGUACAUUCCCCAACCAAUGUGGGACUUUUACCCCUCUAACACUCCCCCCCUCCCCCUUUCAUGCCCAGGCUCGACUGGAGUAUGGACCGGGAGCCCAAACGGGGAUAGACCUGGCUCUGGUACUAUGUAAAGAUAUGGCACCUAGGCCUAACUCAACCUCAAAAGCUAGCUCAUUAGGGGAGGAUUGCUCAAGUUCAUAUAAGGAGUCUACAUACUAUGUGCACCACCAAUUAAUUUGUUGUAUGCUACCAGUAUUUUAGAUCACAUGCUUAUAGAUUGCAUGCCAAAGGAAUCCAUGUUUAUAGGUUAUAUGGUUUAUAAAGGACAUGUUUAUGUGUUAUGUAUUUUAUAAGAAAGAGUCUCGAAUGCUACAUGGCUCACAAAUCACUUGCUUAUAUAUUACAUACCUUUUAGAAACUAUACACCCGCAUGUCGUAAGUUACUUGUUUAUAUGACACAUAAUUUCCAAAAGUUUAUGCGAUUUGGAAGUCUAGGUUUAAUCACUUUUAUAAUGUGUUAUUAAUUGUAAGACAGAAAUGUAUCUGUUUUGUGAGUUACAAUUUAUAUGCUUUUAGGAUAUGGGUCUUCAUAGCUCACUAAUUUCAUGUCAUGUGUCACUUAAGAACUACUUACUUGGAUGCUACUUUUUGUCCGGAAAACUAUAUGCACAUCGGAAAUAUAUCAAAAUCAUAUUACUUACAUGAAUAAUAGGCAGCACAUAUGUUUAUGCUAGAACACAUAAACUUUCUGAAAUUUAAUUCAAGAAUUACUUAUUAAAGCAUGAGCAUAUGUGAAUCGUAUGUCCAUGAGAUUCCUUCUACCUAUAUUAUUUCUUAUAUAUUGUGUGUUCUCACCAAAGACAUGUUUAUCUGAAAAAUGUUCCAAAAAUGUGUGUGCUUGCAUCAGAUAUUCAUUAAGCUCGUGUUUAAAAAAAAAGGGUUUGCGCUUCCAUUAUGAAAAGAAUAAGUUUUAUACAUCCAACAUAUUUUAUGCCUUUGUUUGUUAGAGUGGUAUAACUCUCAUAGAUCAUAUGUAUGGAAGGUAAGGUAUUAGCAUGUAAAGACCCUUAAGCAGGGGCGUAUACAGGAGGGGUCACCGGGUUCACGUGAACCCAUGGUCCCCUCCCGAAAUCAUAUAUAGUAGUGUUAUAUUUUUUUAAAAUAUUUAAAUAUAGAUGUGUGAACCCAGACUCAAAGCAUCAUAUAAUGUAGUACGAUGAUGAUUGGGUGCACCUCUCUAGGUGAGGUUAGAAAUUUGAAUCUUUUAUCUAUCUUGUUUUAGUUUUCUUUCUAAGAUUUUGUAACUGGUUUGGAUAAAUAAAAGUUAAUUUUGGACCUAUGAUUUUAAAAUUUCAAUGGUUUUCAGUAAAAUGAAUCUAACCGAUCAAAUUUAUGUCUUAGAUCCACCUUUUUGUAAUAGUGCACCCAUUAUCUAUAAAUCCUGAAUAUGCCUCUGCCCUUAAGGUCGUUAUGGGUAAAUCAAUGGUAAAAGAAUUUGAGUAGGAUAACUUUUGGAGUAGUGAGUUGAAAAUUUUAGACUAGGUCAACCUCAAACGAAAUCUGUGCAAGGUGAGGUCUAGGACAAUCAGAAAAAAGGAUUAUUAAAAUGUUAAAGCUUAGGUUGGUUUUUCUAUUAGCUUAGACGUUGAUUCCACAAGUGGACCCACUCCAAUCGUUAUAGGUAGACCAAAUGUGAAGGAAUCAGGUAAGAAAAACUUUUGGAUAGAGACUUAAAAACUCCAGGCUACGUUGGUCUUAGAUAGAUUCUGAGUGAAGAAGGUCUAGGGCAAUCCAGGAAUGGGUCAGGUGAUAUGUCUAAGUUGUGUUUAUUUUUUCUAGUAGCUAAGACAAUAAGAAAUCCAUAGGACCUUUCUGAAUCAAAUUCGGGUGAGUAAAACUCUCGAGAUCGAACUUGGCAUAAGGGAUAUUAGUUUAGGAUGUCAAGGGCUGAAGGUACGUUGUGAAAUGUGGGAUUUUGGAGAGGUUUACAUGCCUCUAAUUCCAUGCAAGCCUCUACAACAGACGUCAUGCCGCUAUAGCCAGAUGACUUAGCAGGCGCUAUAGUGGGUUGGACCGAUAUGGCAACGCCACUAUAGCGGGUUAGGACGCUAUAGUGGAACAAGUCAAGAUUUAAUGCAAAAAAAUCCUAUAAAACCUAUUUUUGGUGUUCAGUUCUUGAGAAGAAGGAAGGCGAUUUAGGGCAUUCUUUUAUAGUUUUUCCACCAAUUUCUUCAAUAAAUGUAUGUGAAUUUCUCCCUUUAACUUGUAAAUUGAUUCAUAAGAUUUAGUUACUAGAGGUUUACUCUUGGGGAGGGUUUUAACGUGAAUUAAAGGUGUAAAGAACCCUUGUUGGGUAGAAUAAUCAUUAAUUGGCAUGGGUUAGGAUUUGGUUUUAAUUCAGGUAUUGUUAAGCGAUUACUGAUUGAUUAUUGUAUUUUCAUUAUUGGUUAGACCAAGAACAAGCAUGGCACUAUAAAAAGGGAAAACUCAAGUUUUUUUAAGUUUCGAAGGUUUGCUUCGAGGUAGGUGAUGAUUGUUGUUUACAAAGUAUGUAAUAUGUGCAUGUGAAUUGCUUUGUAGUAUUAUUGUGUAAUGCAUUUGGGGGAAAACUGAAAGGUUAAUGUGAAAUGAUAUCAUGUGGUAAUCUUAUGUAAUCAAACCUGUUUAUUUACUUGUGGUUUCAAGUUGGUUUCUCAUUGUGAUUGUGGUUGUGCAUGCCAUUAUUUGUGAUUGAUGGUUGACUCGGGUACCAUGCUGGUACAUGAAUACUAACAGAUGGCUUGAGUACCACUCUUGGUAUGAAUACUAAUAGUGAUUGGUUCAAGUACCAUAUUUGUACACUAACAAUUUGUGUGCGGGUUCCAUGAGUGGUGUGUGCACGUACGUUCCAUGAGUGGUGUGUGUGUGUUUGUUGAGUACAGGGCAUAUUCAUGCGUUUUCUUCUAGACCUCAGUUGUGAAAAGAAAGACAUAUGAAUUCAAGGGUGGGCUAUUUCUUUUGGGCUGUCAUGGUUUCUUCCUUAUCUAGUUGUCUAUGUUUUUAGACAUAGACAUUUAGAUUCUAGACUUAUGCUUUAUUAGUCAAGGUUGCAUCCCCUUUAUUUACGAUACUUAGAGUUUUAGUACUAUGACUAUCAGACUGUAGGGAGCUGAUUCUGCAAUGAUUUUUUUAAGUGGUUGACUUUAUGGGAACUUGAUCUUUUAUCUAUCAAGACUGCUAAUUAGCUUUUUUUCCUUUCAUGAUUGAUUUCUAAAACUAGUCUUGAUAGGUCACGCUAGGUUAGAAAAUAGUUCUUCCACCGAAGGGUUAGUGUAGGUACAACUCACGAUGGUCUAGGUCUUGACAAUAGGGCUUUAAUUUCAUAAGUGAAUUUAGAUAAGUAGAACUUUCUAUAUCAAAUUUGGUGGGGGGUGGGGGGGGGAUUAGUUUCAACGUCCAGGUUUGAAGGUGUAUUGUGAAAUAGAGACUUUAAGGAGGAUUUGACGAGUUUCAUUUAUGUGCAAAUCUCUAAGGCAAAGGGUAGAGUACUACGACGGCCAAAUUAAUUCUUGUUGUAGCAUAAUGUCAUGCUACAACACCGUCGUUGUAGCGGGAUUAGGCCUCUAUGGCAGGAUAAGUCGCCAAAAAUGCAUAAACUCCCCAAAACCACCCAUAAUCAUCCAAGAGUUUUUUGGGGAAGUGUAGGGGAGACCUAGGGUGAUUUUCUCUUAUUUUCAAUCAUUUUCAUCUAUGAAGGUAAGUUAAUUACUAUUUUAACUUACUAAUUCGAUUCUUAAGCCUUAAAAUUUGUGGUGACAAUCUUAAGGCAAAGUUUUGUUUAAUUUAAUGAUGAAGAACUCCUGAUUUGGAUGGGAUGAUCAUGAGAAUGACCUAGGGUUCAGAAUAGGGUACAAUCCAGGUUUUUAGGCUAUUGAGGUGUGAUUAUGUGUUGUAUUGAUUAUUUGUAGAUCAAGAACAAGCUAGGUAUCUUAACAAGGGGAAGACUCAAGUUCAAUAGAGCUUCCAAGGAUAGAUUCCAGGUAGGUGACGAUUGUUAGUUUCCCAGUAAUGUUAUGUAUGCAUGUUAAUUGUCUUUAUAGUGAAACAUGUACAAUUCAUUUUAGGGAAAACGUAAGGGUUAAAUAAGAAAUGAUGAAUUGUUGAUAAUCCCAUGCAAUAAAAGUGUUUUGAUUACUUGUAUUUACAAGUGUGAUUUUAUUUUAUUGUGUUUGUUUGACUAUCAGGUUGCUCGGGUACCACACCUGGUAUGAAAUAUAUCUCAGUUAACUCAGGUAUCAUGUCGUGUACCUUGGGUACCAUGCCUGGUACAAAAUAUCUCUUGAUUGGCUCGGGUACCACGCCUUGUACAUAUUAUCAGUUGGCUUGGGUAUUAUGCAUGAUACAUAAUAUCUCUUGAUUGGCUAGAGUACUACAUCUGGUAUAUGUUAUCAUUUGGCUCAAGUGUCACGUCUGGUACAUUUUUUACUAUUCUCUUGUGUAUUGGUUCCUGGAGUGAACCGGACUUGUUUGUGAUCAUGUGGGACAUGCUUCAUAUAAAUGGGUAAGUCGGGAUUGGUGAUUGAGAGUCUAGGUGUAUUGCUGACUUGGUUGAUGUAUGUGUUGUCUUGUCUUUACUAUAUUUUAGUUAUGUGUUUACAUUCAUAUCUUUGGAGCUAGACGAUAAUUCUACCAGUACACUGUGGUUUAUGUACCCAUAUUGCACUUGCUCUUUCUUUGUUGAGUACAAUACAUAUUCAGGUGGUUGUUUCGCUAUCUUAAUUGUGAUUCCCUAGUUAUUGAUACUUCCUCCGGUCUGCCACGG
Molecule: long non-coding RNA, 7900 nt
Filed under: Solanum tuberosum (potato)
Lineage: Eukaryota; Viridiplantae; Streptophyta; Magnoliopsida; Solanales; Solanaceae
Description: long non-coding RNA (STUB_LNC010143)
Source: RNAcentral